Molecule: transfer RNA, 71 nt
Filed under: Camelus ferus (Wild Bactrian camel)
Lineage: Eukaryota; Metazoa; Chordata; Mammalia; Artiodactyla; Camelidae
Rfam family: tRNA
About the family: Transfer RNA (tRNA) molecules are approximately 80 nucleotides in length.
Source: Rfam by way of RNAcentral
AGAAGUAUAGCUCAGUGGCAGAGCACAGCUUAGUAUGCACAAGGUCCUGGGUUCGAUCCCCAGUACUUCCA